RNAcentral lists this ribosomal RNA (841 nucleotides) under Glaciihabitans sp. RNAcentral describes it as "bacterial SSU rRNA". It matches the Rfam family "Bacterial small subunit ribosomal RNA", at positions 89 to 942 of the family's 1533-position model. The record is from RNAcentral. Lineage: Bacteria; Bacillati; Actinomycetota; Actinomycetes; Micrococcales; Microbacteriaceae.
GGAUUAGUGGCGAACGGGUGAGUAACACGUGAGUAACCUGCCCUUGACUCUGGGAUAAGCACUGGAAACGGUGUCUAAUACCGGAUACGACCCUCAACCGCAUGGUUAGGGGGUGGAAAGAAUUUUGGUCAAGGAUGGACUCGCGGCCUAUCAGGUAGUUGGUGAGGUAAUGGCUCACCAAGCCGACGACGGGUAGCCGGCCUGAGAGGGUGACCGGCCACACUGGGACUGAGACACGGCCCAGACUCCUACGGGAGGCAGCAGUGGGGAAUAUUGCACAAUGGGCGAAAGCCUGAUGCAGCAACGCCGCGUGAGGGAUGACGGCCUUCGGGUUGUAAACCUCUUUUAGUAGGGAAGAAGCGAAAGUGACGGUACCUGCAGAAAAAGCACCGGCUAACUACGUGCCAGCAGCCGCGGUAAUACGUAGGGUGCAAGCGUUAUCCGGAAUUAUUGGGCGUAAAGAGCUCGUAGGCGGUUUGUCGCGUCUGCUGUGAAAACUGGAGGCUCAACCUCCAGCCUGCAGUGGGUACGGGCAGACUAGAGUGCGGUAGGGGAGAUUGGAAUUCCUGGUGUAGCGGUGGAAUGCGCAGAUAUCAGGAGGAACACCGAUGGCGAAGGCAGAUCUCUGGGCCGUAACUGACGCUGAGGAGCGAAAGCAUGGGGAGCGAACAGGAUUAGAUACCCUGGUAGUCCAUGCCGUAAACGUUGGGAACUAGAUGUAGGGGCCAUUCCACGGUUUCUGUGUCGCAGCUAACGCAUUAAGUUCCCCGCCUGGGGAGUACGGCCGCAAGGCUAAAACUCAAAGGAAUUGACGGGGGCCCGCACAAGCGGCGGAGCAUGC